Small nucleolar RNA from Scophthalmus maximus (turbot), 304 nucleotides. The record is from Ensembl. Lineage: Eukaryota; Metazoa; Chordata; Actinopteri; Pleuronectiformes; Scophthalmidae.
GCCCAGUGAUGAGACCAAGGCGAAUAUGAGCUUACUGAAUGAGAGCUGGGUUCUUCUUUGCCUUGACUGGCAGGUAAUCUUGGCAGUGCAGAGGAGCAUUCCUGCUCUGCUGUAAGGGCCUGCCUACAGUGAUGUAGCUCGACCUAAAUUAUUCCUCAACAGUCAGUGGAUUAAUUCCUGGGAUGAUGCUGACAGUGUGUGUGUGUGUGUGUGCAGUGUGUGCAUGUCUGAGAAGGCAAGAAGUUCACCCAGCUCUCUUUGCUAUUCAGUCAGCCAUGAGUAGCUUCUUUGGUAAUCUGAGGCC